GGGUCCAUAGCUCAACGGUAGAGCAGCAGCCUUUUAAGCUGUUGGUUGAAGGUUCGAAUCCUUCUGGACUCA
This 72-nucleotide transfer RNA is filed under the name Candidatus Microgenomates bacterium. RNAcentral's name for it is "tRNA-Lys". It matches the Rfam family "tRNA". From Rfam's summary of the family: Transfer RNA (tRNA) molecules are approximately 80 nucleotides in length. Their secondary structure includes four short double-helical elements and three loops (D, anti-codon, and T loops). Lineage: Bacteria; Candidatus Microgenomatota. The record is from RNAcentral.